CCCGCCUGGAUGGGGAUAGAGGGAGGUUUCUGGGUUCUUGCCUUUAUAGGAAAGGGGCCCUCGGGGACAUGGGUGUGGGGGCUAAAAUGGGAAAGUUAUCACAGGCUGGGGACCUGGGUCCUGAAGGUCAAGGGGAUCCCUGCUGUCCUGGGAAGGGGGCAGGUGAGCCAGUUAUUUUUGAGAUUUGUUUUCCUUCGUACUCUAAGAUCUAGAAUGGGGGUCAGUAAACUUCUUCUUAAAGGGACAGACAAUAAAUAUUUUUGGCAACACAGGCCUAAAAAUCAAUGAUUUCAGGUAGGUACUUACAUAACCAUUUACAAUGUAACCAUUUAAAAUGUAAACACCAGGGGCACCUGAGUGGCUCAGUCGGUUGGGGAUCCGACUCUUGAUUUUGGCUUGUGGCGGUGUGGAGGCCACUUGAGAUUCUCCUCCUUCUGCCCCUCCCCCCGGCAUGCGUGUGUGCUCUCUCAAAUAAAUAAAUAAUCUUUUACUACCCCAUUCCCUAGGUCCCAGAACACAGGGUUGAGUCCUGGGUGCUGGACAUGAAGGGUGUAGACUGGUAUUUGCUGAGACUACAGAGACACGUCUAACCCCCCUUGACAUGGGUGCAGAAAUCCAAGUAUAAAGGCAGCCCAGGGCUCGGCACCACUCACCUCAGGCUGUCAGAGAAGGCCUCCAGGCCGAACUUGGAGACACAGUAGCCCCCGCCAUUGGCUGCCAGGCGACCCAAAACACUGGUGACGUUGACCACCCGGCCCCGGGCCCGCUGCAGCAGUGGCAGCAGGGCGAGGGUGACGCCGAUGGGACCCAGUGUAUUCACGUUCAGCACCCGACGGAAAUCAUUCUGUGUGAGCCACGGUGUGGGCCCGAUGAUCCCGGCCACACCAGCGUUAUUCACCAGACCAAAAAGCCCUGUGGAGAGAGGAGACAGACACCACAGGGUAGGUAAGGCAUUCCGGCGCUCUCUCCCCGGAUCACUGCUCCUUCCCCAUGCACUCCCUCCAGCUUCAAGCAGCCUGCCCGUGGGCCUAGUGGCUACUCACCUGCUUCCCCGACGUGUGUUUCCACCCACUUGGCUGCCCGCUGGACACUCUGGGGAUCAGUGACAUCCAGCAGGGUGGUGUGGAGGCGGGAGGAGGCCACCCGCUGUAGGUCCUCUGCCCCCGAGGGGGUCAGGCAGCUGGCCAGGACUCGGAAGCCUCUCUGGUCCAGUCUCAGUGCCAAAAGCCGCCCGAAGCCUGAGUCGCAGCCGGUGAUGAAGAUGAAAGCAUCGCUGGCGGGCAGGCUCUGGCGGUCCCUGAGCAACCACAGCGCCGCCCAGAGCAGGACUCCCAGCAGCAGAGGCAGCCACAUGGCCAGAGCCCAAGUGACCUGCCAGUGGCAGCCGAGGCUGGGCAGGAAAACUUGUCUCGUUUACUCUGGUCUCAAACCCUGGCCCCUGAGAGCCUCCCUAGCUGGAAGCCUGGUCUGAGCAGACUGAGAAAUUAUCUGCUUGGCAGGUAACUGGCACACUCUGGCUCAUGCAAGCAAAGCAAAGACCCAGGCGGACCCUGUAUCUGUGGCUACCUUAAUAAAGCCGGUGAGCCGGGGCCGGGGCGCAGACUCCGGCUCGGGAGCUGAGGAAUCCGGUUGGCUUUCCCCUCUCCUGCUAAGCCAGUGACAUCUGAAUUCUCUGCGUGUAAACUGGGCCUUAUUUUUGGAAACACGUACAGGGCCAAGAGCCCUGCGCUUUCGUCCUGUUGGCCCCAAACUUACUGUGUGAUGCUGAGUGUCUCCCUGUGUCUCCGAACCUGUUUUCUAUUCUACCAGUGGGGCCAAUGCCCACCGUGGCCCACCUGGCAGCUGUGGAGGGUCCACAGGGAUCAUGUGGGAGGAAGCACUUGAAAAGCUUAUGGCUUUGACUUACCAACACGUGUGAUACCAGGAGCGCCCCUCAGAGCGCCCAGCUCCCGGUGCCCUGCUCACCUCCUCGGGGCAAAGCUAGCAGGCGGCACAAUGCCUGAAGCUCCUUGUUUUGCUCCGUUUGAGAGACUUUGCUCCCAGUCUUUCCAGGCUCCCACACUAGCUACAGCUAAUGCCAAAGUCCACAGUGGGUGGCCUGGGUCCCAGAAGUAUUAAGUGUGUGUGGGUGGGGUGGGGGAGCGGCUGGGAGGAGGAGCCUGGGAAGCUGGAGCCUGGCGGUCGAAGCCAAGGCUUGGCACAGGUCAGGUGUGCCCAGGCCCCCUUCUCAGCUGUCUUUUCCAGCCGGGGUGCCUGACUGCCUCUGUCACGGAUGACCAGGAGGAGGGAUAUGUCAAGGAUGGCAGCUGCCCCUCUCUGUGGUGACCCUGGACUGGCCACUCCUCCUCCUUCCAAGCCCCGAAGGGCCCCCAUGCCCAAGAACUAAUCUCCAACCUGGUCCAGACUCAUGACACUGCUUAGCACCAGGCUGGGAGAGGCCACGAGCACGUGGAGAGGCAGAGAGCCAGAGCCGGGACCAAGCCUGCUCCCUGUCGUAUUUCUCCUCUGCAGGAAACUGAAGUCCUGAGUCAGGAAGCUUGGGGCAGGGCCCACUAACCUUCUGUGUGGAGGUGUGGGAAACUUCUGCCCUCUGCUUAUGCAA
Ailuropoda melanoleuca (giant panda) is the source of this 2602-nucleotide long non-coding RNA. RefSeq lists it as uncharacterized. Lineage: Eukaryota; Metazoa; Chordata; Mammalia; Carnivora; Ursidae. The record is from RefSeq and is a predicted model, not a curated record. The transcript has 2 exons.